RNAcentral lists this ribosomal RNA (458 nucleotides) under uncultured bacterium. RNAcentral describes it as "partial 16S ribosomal RNA". It matches the Rfam family "Bacterial small subunit ribosomal RNA", at positions 338 to 795 of the family's 1533-position model. The record is from RNAcentral.
CCUACGGGUGUCAGCAGUGGGGAAUAUUGCACAAUGGGGGAAACCCUGAUGCAGCGACGCCGCGUGAGUGAAGAAGUAUUUCGGUACGUAAAGCUCUAUCAGCAGGGAAGAAAAACAGUCCUUUGGACUUUGGACGGUACCUGACCAAGAAGCCCCGGCUAACUACGUGCCAGCAGCCGCGGUAAUACGUAGGGGGCAAGCGUUAUCCGGAUUGACUGGGCGUAAAGGGAGCGUAGGCGGCCUGCCAAGUCUGAUGUGAAAUACCGGGGCUCAACCCCGGGGCUGCAUUGGAAACUGGGAGGCUGGAGUGGCGGAGAGGCAGGCGGAAUGCCUAGUGUAGCGGUGAAAUGCGGAGAUAUUAGGAGGAACACCAGUGGCGAAGGCGGCCUGCUGGACGGUGACUGACGCUGAGGCUCGAAAGCGUGGGGAGCAAACAGGAUUAGAUACCCUAGGUAGUC